This 590-nucleotide ribosomal RNA is filed under the name uncultured bacterium. RNAcentral's name for it is "bacterial SSU rRNA". It matches the Rfam family "Bacterial small subunit ribosomal RNA", at positions 337 to 917 of the family's 1533-position model. The record is from RNAcentral.
UCCUACGGGAGGCAGCAGUGGGGAAUCUUCCGCAAUGGACGAAAGUCUGACGGAGCAACGCCGCGUGAGUGAUGAAGGCUUUCGGGUCGUAAAACUCUGUUGUUAGGGAAGAACAAGUGCUAGUUGAAUAAGCUGGCACCUUGACGGUACCUAACCAGAAAGCCACGGCUAACUACGUGCCAGCAGCCGCGGUAAUACGUAGGUGGCAAGCGUUAUCCGGAAUUAUUGGGCGUAAAGCGCGCGCAGGUGGUUUCUUAAGUCUGAUGUGAAAGCCCACGGCUCAACCGUGGAGGGUCAUUGGAAACUGGGAGACUUGAGUGCAGAAGAGGAAAGUGGAAUUCCAUGUGUAGCGGUGAAAUGCGUAGAGAUAUGGAGGAACACCAGUGGCGAAGGCGACUUUCUGGUCUGUAACUGACACUGAGGCGCGAAAGCGUGGGGAGCAAACAGGAUUAGAUACCCUGGUAGUCCACGCCGUAAACGAUGAGUGCUAAGUGUUAGAGGGUUUCCGCCCUUUAGUGCUGAAGUUAACGCAUUAAGCACUCCGCCUGGGGAGUACGGCCGCAAGGCUGAAACUCAAAUGAAUUGACGGA